This 621-nucleotide ribosomal RNA is filed under the name Arthrobacter sp. RNAcentral describes it as "bacterial SSU rRNA". It matches the Rfam family "Bacterial small subunit ribosomal RNA", at positions 70 to 703 of the family's 1533-position model. Lineage: Bacteria; Bacillati; Actinomycetota; Actinomycetes; Micrococcales; Micrococcaceae. The record is from RNAcentral.
ACCCUGGUGCUUGCACCAGGUGAUUAGUGGCGAACGGGUGAGUAACACGUGAGUAACCUGCCCCCGACUCUGGGAUAAGCCCGGGAAACUGGGUCUAAUACCGGAUAUUCACUUCCUUCCGCAUGGAGGGUGGUGGAAAGAUUUAUCGGUGGGGGAUGGACUCGCGGCCUAUCAGCUUGUUGGUGGGGUAAUGGCCUACCAAGGCGACGACGGGUAGCCGGCCUGAGAGGGUGACCGGCCACACUGGGACUGAGACACGGCCCAGACUCCUACGGGAGGCAGCAGUGGGGAAUAUUGCACAAUGGGCGAAAGCCUGAUGCAGCGACGCCGCGUGAGGGAUGACGGCCUUCGGGUUGUAAACCUCUUUCAGUAGGGAAGAAGCGAAAGUGACGGUACCUGCAGAAGAAGCGCCGGCUAACUACGUGCCANCAGCCGCGGUAAUACGUAGGGCGCAAGCGUUAUCCGGAAUUAUUGGGCGUAAAGAGCUCGUAGGCGGUUUGUCGCGUCUGCCGUGAAAGUCCGGGGCUCAACCCCGGAUCUGCGGUGGGUACGGGCAGACUAGAGUGAUGUAGGGGAGACUGGAAUUCCUGGUGUAGCGGUGAAAUGCGCAGAUAUCAGGAG